CAAUAGCGUAUAUUAAAGUUGUUGCGGUUAAAAAGCUCGUAGUUGGAUUUCUGUUGAGGAUGGGCGGUCCGCACUUCGUGCGUGUAUCUGUUUUGUCCUUGGCAUCCUUUCAAGGAACAUAACUGUGCUUAAUUGCAUGGGUGGUACUUGGAACUUUACUGUGAGAAAAUUAGAGUGUUCAAAGCAGGCUUAUGCCUUGGAUAUGUUAGCAUGGAAUAAUAAGAUAAGACUUUGGCGGUCUAUUUUGUGGUUUGCACGCCAUUGUAAUGAUUGAUAGGGACAGUUGGGGUAUUCAUAUUUAAUUGUCAGAGGUGAAAUUCUUGGAUUUAUGAAAGAUGAACUACUGCGAAAGCAUUUACCAAGGAUGUUUUCAUUAAUCAAGAACGAAAGUUAGGGGAUCGAAGAUGAUUAGAU
This 414-nucleotide ribosomal RNA is filed under the name uncultured eukaryote. Its description in RNAcentral is "bacterial SSU rRNA". It matches the Rfam family "Eukaryotic small subunit ribosomal RNA", at positions 592 to 1013 of the family's 1831-position model. The record is from RNAcentral.